GCGGGAGUGGCGGAAUUGGUAGACGCGCUGGAUUUAGGUUCCAGUGCCGCGAGGCGUGAGAGUUCAAGUCUCUCCUCCCGUACCA
This 85-nucleotide transfer RNA is filed under the name Thalassotalea agarivorans. RNAcentral describes it as "tRNA_Leu_TAG". It matches the Rfam family "tRNA". Rfam says of the family: Transfer RNA (tRNA) molecules are approximately 80 nucleotides in length. Their secondary structure includes four short double-helical elements and three loops (D, anti-codon, and T loops). RNAcentral also lists the same sequence under 2 other names. The record is from RNAcentral. Lineage: Bacteria; Pseudomonadati; Pseudomonadota; Gammaproteobacteria; Alteromonadales; Colwelliaceae.